GCAGUGGUAGUUAAGUGGUAGAAUUCUCACCUGCCUUGUGAGAGACCCAGGUUCAAAUCUCAGUCAAUGCA
Molecule: transfer RNA, 71 nt
Filed under: Loxodonta africana (African savanna elephant)
Lineage: Eukaryota; Metazoa; Chordata; Mammalia; Proboscidea; Elephantidae
Rfam family: tRNA
About the family: Transfer RNA (tRNA) molecules are approximately 80 nucleotides in length.
Source: Rfam by way of RNAcentral